Molecule: long non-coding RNA, 364 nt
Filed under: Ricinus communis (castor bean)
Lineage: Eukaryota; Viridiplantae; Streptophyta; Magnoliopsida; Malpighiales; Euphorbiaceae
Description: long non-coding RNA (RCOM_LNC000968)
Source: RNAcentral
GUCAAAGUCAGAACAUUUUGAUUUCAAUUCAUACAAAAUACAUCACUAAUUAACCUCAUAAUACAACUUUAGUAUUUUCUAACACAACUUAUUCCUCUACUGUUGGUUCACCCAAAUAUGAGAUAUGUUUAAUGUUAGACAUGGUACAUGUAUCCAUUUCAUAAACCCACCAACCAUGAAUACUUCCACGACUAAAAUAAACACAAUUUCCCCUGCAUCCAACUCUGCUUGGGGAGACAGACAUACAACAAUUAGAACCCAAAAAUAAUGUUCUUGCAGCCGCGAGGACAAAGCAGCACAUAAAAAUGGAAACCUAGCAUCCCAUGAUGGGAUGCACCAGUGUCCUUCCAUCACUGGAUCCCAN